Molecule: unclassified non-coding RNA, 886 nt
Filed under: Leishmania donovani
Lineage: Eukaryota; Euglenozoa; Kinetoplastea; Trypanosomatida; Trypanosomatidae
Description: gene:unknown
Source: RNAcentral
CCUCCGUCUCUCUAUGAUGGCCCGCUCCUACCGCUCCGUUUCGUUGGCACCAAAUCCGCAUCUUUGUUUUCUUUCCUGUAGUCCUUCCUUUUAUUUUACAUCGUUGUGUGGGCGAAGCACAGAUUUGUGUGUCUCGUUAUGCCUCCGUUAGCAAUUAUCUAUGUCUCUCUGUCUGUCUGUGCGUGCUUGUGUGCGUGAUUGUCGCUGUCGCGGUGUGUACGCUCCUACGCCUCUUGCAAGGGGCUGCGAUACCCCACUGCCCACACCGUUCUCAGCAGCAGCCGCACUCAGCUUCACCCCUUCUUGUCCACCACCUCAAAAAAAAAAAACAAUAAAGAAAAUGGAAAGUUAGUGCCUCAUUUCGACUUCUCUCUGUGUUCUUCGCUGUUUUUUUUUUUGUUUUCGUCCGUCUUUUCAAGCUGUAGGUAUGCAAAACACUCAAAGGCACACACCACACCACGCACAAAACACACGCGCUUUGCGCGCUUCUUGGCACAGUGAUGUGCACAAGCUCCUCCGCUGCCGAGCUCAGCACACAUCCGUCGUGACUAAUGUCCUUGUGACAAGCUGCUGUGACAACGGAGUGUUUUGUUUUUCCUUCGUAGGCAGCAGGCUUGUGCCAUCUGCGGUGCUUCUCUCCAGCUUCUCUGGGUGCCGAGGGCCGAACAGCAUGCUUCCUCGCUUCUGGUGGUCGAAUUGAAAGGCUGUCACACACAUCGCCUUCCGCUGAUGUCGAGUCGAGUCUUUCUGUCUCUCUCUUCAUUGCUGGUGCGUUUUUUUUUUCGCAUCUCUUCCUUUGCACGGCGCGCCCCUUGUGGCCCCCUGCUGCCUGUGCUGGUCCCCUCACGGAUAUACUGCGCAUCUGCCUCUCUUACUAUUCACACAG